RNAcentral lists this ribosomal RNA (497 nucleotides) under uncultured bacterium. Its description in RNAcentral is "partial 16S ribosomal RNA". It matches the Rfam family "Bacterial small subunit ribosomal RNA", at positions 28 to 507 of the family's 1533-position model. The record is from RNAcentral.
GAUGAACGCUGGCGGCGUGCCUAACACAUGCCAGUCGAACGGAAGGACGAUAAGCUUGUGCUCUUGCUGGUGGCGGGUGGCGGGCGGGUAACGCGUGGAUCGCCAUCUUCUAUUUCGGGGAUAAUAACGGAAAGCCGGAUAUGAUACCACAGCAUAUGAUGUACCGUAGGGGGCAGAGGAAAAUGGCGGCCUUGGGGGCUGUAAUAGCUGGUUCCGCGCUGCAUGAGAUAGUUGGUAAGGUAACGGCCUACCAAGGCUACGAUGCGUAGCCGAGCUGAGAGGGUGAUCGGCCACACUGGAACUGAGACACGGUCCAGACUCCUACGGGAGGCAGCAGUAGGGAAUCUUCGGCAAUGGGCGAAAGCCUGACGGAGCAACGCCGCGUGAGUGACGAAGGUCUUCGGAUCGUAAAGCCCUGUUAUUGGGGAAGAACAGAUGUGGACUUAAAUGUGGCCAUCUUGACGGUACCUAAUCAAAAAGCACCGGCUAACUACGUG